Molecule: long non-coding RNA, 358 nt
Filed under: Gossypium barbadense (sea-island cotton)
Lineage: Eukaryota; Viridiplantae; Streptophyta; Magnoliopsida; Malvales; Malvaceae
Description: long non-coding RNA (GBAR_LNC003381)
Source: RNAcentral
UUAGGAUAGGAGCAAGUGUCCUCUUUUCAUUACAAUAAUUCUUCCUAAUAAAGAACCAAGCCCCCAUACUGUACAGAAAAAAUAAAGCAAAAUCUGCAAACAGUUUCCUGUUUAUUCUUUCUCCAACUCAUAGCAAAGAAUAACAAAAAAUGGAAAGGGAGUGUCUUUUGUAAGCUUUCUUAAUUUAAAUGAAGUCCGCAAGGCAAAAUUUCACUAUAUAUAUGUAUAUAAUAUUUAUAAUGAGCAGAAUUUCACUGUAUAUUUAAAAAGUCAUCCAAUACUUGAUGGCAUCUACAAGAUGUAAAUUUGCAGAAUUUAUUAGUAUGAUACAAGUGUUACCUUUUUAUCAUGAUCCAAU